AUCGGAACGUGCCCAGUCGUGGGGAUAACGUAGCGAAAGUUACGCUAAUACCGCAUACGAUCUAAGGAUGAAAGCGGGGGAUCGCAAGACCUCGCGCGAUUGGAGCGGCCGAUAUCAGAUUAGGUAGUUGGUGGGUAAAGGCUCACCAAGCCAACGAUCUGUAGCUGGUCUGAGAGGACGACCAGCCACACUGGAACUGAGACACGGUCCAGACUCCUACGGGAGGCAGCAGUGGGGAAUUUUUGGACAAUGGACGCAAGUCUGAUCCAGCCAUUCCGCGUGCAGGAUGAAGGCCCUCGGGUUGUAAACUGCUUUUGUACGGAACGAAAAGGUUUCUCUUAAUACGAGGAGCUCAUGACGGUACCGUAAGAAUAAGCACCGGCUAACUACGUG
This 393-nucleotide ribosomal RNA is filed under the name uncultured bacterium. RNAcentral describes it as "bacterial SSU rRNA". It matches the Rfam family "Bacterial small subunit ribosomal RNA", at positions 117 to 507 of the family's 1533-position model. The record is from RNAcentral.